RNAcentral lists this long non-coding RNA (541 nucleotides) under Salmo salar (Atlantic salmon). RNAcentral's name for it is "lncRNA (ENSSSAG00000113708.1)". The record is from RNAcentral. Lineage: Eukaryota; Metazoa; Chordata; Actinopteri; Salmoniformes; Salmonidae.
GACAGAGAGGCUGAGAAGCACAGAGGCAGUCUCUAACUAUAGCCCAAUGAGCUCUCAGCCCCUCACACACACACAGUCUCUCAGCGCUGGCUCAGGCUCCGCUUCAACACUGGGACACAGAGAGAGGCAGCAAGAGGCGGAGAAGGAGAGUAAGAGAGAGAGAGUGAGAAAGAGGAAGAGCGGGAGAUCGGUAGUGUGUAUGUGUGUGUGAGAGAGAGAGCACCAUGGCUUUAGACCCAGGGCUCAUUGCACUGCUUCUAUGGACUAUACCACUACAAGUACUGGGCAACGCCGGAAACAACAAUAACAAUGAAGCUGCUGAAGCAUCACCCAGGUGGGUGCUACACUUCAGUAGUGGACUAAUCUGCCUACCGACAGAGGAGGAGGAGGGACGAGGUGCCUGACGAACUCCUGAUCUCUACAUUUGUUUUGUUUGUUUUUACAUCGUCUUUGAGAUUCUCUUUGUAAUGAAUAGCGCCAUAUUAAAUAAACAUUAUUAUUAUUAUUAUGAGGUUUGUAAAUAUGUAAAAAUGAGCCGCCG